GACGAACGCUGGCGGCGUGCUUAACACAUGCAAGUCGAACGAAGAGCGAUGGAAGCUUGCUUCUAUCAAUCUUAGUGGCGAACGGGUGAGUAACGCGUAAUCAACCUGCCCUUCAGAGGGGGACAACAGUUGGAAACGACUGCUAAUACCGCAUACGAUCUAAUCUCGGCAUCGAGGAUAGAUGAAAGGUGGCCUCUACAUGUAAGCUAUCACUGAAGGAGGGGAUUGCGUCUGAUUAGCUAAUUGGAGGGGUAACGGCCCACCAAGGGGAUGAUCAGUAACGAGUCGGGGAGGAUGGACGGCCACAGUGGGAAUGGAGAAAGGCCCAGACCCCUACGGGGGGGAGCAGGGGGGAAUCUUCCGCAAUGGAGGAAAGUCUGACGGGACAACGCCGGGGGGGGUGUGGCGGCCUUCGGGUUGUAAAGCUCUGCUAAUCGGGACAAAAGGCCUUCUUGCGAAUAGUGAGAAGGAUUGACGGUACCGAAAUAGAAAGCCACGGCUAACUACGUG
RNAcentral lists this ribosomal RNA (510 nucleotides) under uncultured bacterium. RNAcentral describes it as "partial 16S ribosomal RNA". It matches the Rfam family "Bacterial small subunit ribosomal RNA", at positions 28 to 507 of the family's 1533-position model. The record is from RNAcentral.